UGGGGAAUAUUGCACAAUGGGCGCAAGCCUGAUGCAGCCAUGCCGCGUGUAUGAAGAAGGCCUUCGGGUUGUAAAGUACUUUCAGCGGGGAGGAAGGUGGUAAGGUUAAUAACCUUAUCAAUUGACGUUACCGACAGAAGAAGCACCGGCUAACUCCGUGCCAGCAGCCGCGGUAAUACGGAGGGUGCAAGCGUUAAUCGGAAUUACUGGGCGUAAAGCGCACGCAGGCGGUUGAUUGAGUCAGAUGUGAAAUCCCCGGGCUUAACCCGGGAAUUGCAUCUGAUACUGGUCAGCUAGAGUCUUGUAGAGGGGGGUAGAAUUCCAUGUGUAGCGGUGAAAUGCGUAGAGAUGUGGAGGAAUACCGGUGGCGAAGGCGGCCCCCUGGACAAAGACUGACGCUCAGGUGCGAAAGCGUGGGGAGCAAACAGG
RNAcentral lists this ribosomal RNA (429 nucleotides) under Chloroflexota bacterium. Its description in RNAcentral is "Chloroflexi bacterium partial 16S ribosomal RNA". It matches the Rfam family "Bacterial small subunit ribosomal RNA", at positions 355 to 776 of the family's 1533-position model. The record is from RNAcentral. Lineage: Bacteria; Bacillati; Chloroflexota.